UGGGGAAUAUUGGGCAAUGGGCGCAAGCCUGACCCAGCAACGCCGCGUGAAGGAAGAAGGCUUUCGGGUUGUAAACUUCUUUUGGCAGGGAAGAAAAUGACGGUGCCUGACUAAGAAGCCCCGGCUAACUACGUGCCAGCAGCCGCGGUAAUACGUAGGGGGCAAGCGUUAUCCGGAUUUACUGGGUGUAAAGGGAGCGUAGACGGCAAUGCAAGUCUGAAGUGAAAGGACGGGGCUUAACCCUGUGACUGCUUUGGAAACUGUGUAGCUUGAGUGCCGGAGGGGUAAGCGGAAUUCCUAGUGUAGCGGUGAAAUGCGUAGAUAUUAGGAGGAACACCAGUGGCGAAGGCGGCUUACUGGACGGUAACUGACGUUGAGGCUCGAAAGCGUGGGGAGCAAACAGGAUUAGAUACCCUGGUAGU
This 422-nucleotide ribosomal RNA is filed under the name uncultured Blautia sp. RNAcentral describes it as "bacterial SSU rRNA". It matches the Rfam family "Bacterial small subunit ribosomal RNA", at positions 355 to 794 of the family's 1533-position model. The record is from RNAcentral. Lineage: Bacteria; Bacillati; Bacillota; Clostridia; Lachnospirales; Lachnospiraceae.